UACGGAGGGUGCAAGCGUCGUCCGGAUUUAUUGGGUUUAAAGGGUGCGUAGGCGGCCCGGUAAGUCAGUGGUGAAAGCCUCCAGCUCAACUGGAGAACUGCCAUUGAUACUGCCGGGCUUGAGUACAGACGAGGUUGGCGGAAUUGAUUGUGUAGCGGUGAAAUGCAUAGAUACAAUCAAGAACUCCGAUUGCGUAGGCAGCUAACUAGGCUGUAACUGACGCUGAGGCACGAAAGCGUGGGGAGCGAACAGG
RNAcentral lists this ribosomal RNA (253 nucleotides) under uncultured bacterium. Its description in RNAcentral is "partial 16S ribosomal RNA". It matches the Rfam family "Bacterial small subunit ribosomal RNA", at positions 524 to 776 of the family's 1533-position model. The record is from RNAcentral.